CCGUGGAACGUGAAUCUCGAGGUAGGCGUGGCCUGUCAUCAAAAGAGUUGCAGAGAUAGACCAGAAUUGCACCGCCAAAGCUUCGAGGAGUUGAUUACGUUAUUUAGAUUGCUCCUGCUAUAAUUAUUUUGUGUUUAUAUUUGAAUCGUAAAUAACCUCACUAUUGUAUAUGUAUCAAUUGCGAGAAGUUCUUGUUUACAUGUAUUUCUGAGCGGGGCUAAUUUUGGGGUAAGUUUUUGUGACAUAUUUCUUAAUUAAAUGUUUAAGUAAAUGAAUUA
This is a long non-coding RNA of Papaver somniferum (opium poppy), 278 nucleotides long. RefSeq lists it as uncharacterized. The transcript has 2 exons. NCBI's taxonomy places the organism in Eukaryota, Viridiplantae, Streptophyta, Magnoliopsida, Ranunculales, Papaveraceae. The record is from RefSeq and is a predicted model, not a curated record.